RNAcentral lists this transfer RNA (46 nucleotides) under Cyanoptyche gloeocystis. RNAcentral's name for it is "partial tRNA". The record is from RNAcentral. Lineage: Eukaryota; Glaucocystophyceae.
GGGUGCUUGGCUUCUAAUCCAGCGAUCCUGGGUUUGAAUCCUACUG